Molecule: non-coding RNA, 31 nt
Filed under: Mus musculus (house mouse)
Lineage: Eukaryota; Metazoa; Chordata; Mammalia; Rodentia; Muridae
Source: RNAcentral
UACUUGUGCCUAGACAGAAGAAUGAACGAUU